ACCUGGUUGAUUCUGCCGGACCCGACUGCUAUCAGAGUGAGAUUAAGCCAUGCGAGUUAACGUAGCAAUACGUGGCGCACGGCUCAGUAACACGUAGUCAACAUGCCCAGAGGACGCGGAUAACCUCGGGAAACUGAGUCUAAACCGCGAUAAGUGAGGAUUUCUGGAAUGGUUCCUGACUAAAAUCUAUAUGGCCUCUGGAUUGGACUGCGGCCGAUCAGGCUGUUGGUGAGGUAAUGGCCCACCAAACCUGUAACCGGUACGGGCUCUGAGAGGAGGAGCCCGGAGAUGGGCACUGAGACAAGGGCCCAGGCCCUAUGGGGCGCAGCAGGCGCGAAACCUCUGCAAUAGGCGAAAGCCUGACAGGGUUACUCUGAGUGACUUUCGCUAAGAAAGUCUUUUGGCACCUUUAAAAAGGGUGCAGAAUAAGGGGUGGGCAAGUCUGGUGUCAGCCGCCGCGGUAAUACCAGCACCCCGAGUGGUCGGGACGAUUAUUGGGCCUAAAGCAUCCGUAGCCGGUUCUGCAAGUCCCCCGUUAAAUCCAGCUGCUCAACAGAUGGGCCGCGGAGGAUACUACAGAGCUAGGAGGCAGGAGAGGCAAGCGGUACUCAGUGGGUAGGGGUAAAAUCCGUUGAUCCAUUGAAGACCACCAGUGGCGAAGGCGGCUUGCCAGAAUGCGCUCGACGGUGAGGGAUGAAAGCUGGGGGAGCAAACCGGAUUAGAUACCCGGGUAGUCCCAGCCGGAAACGAUGCAGACUCGGUGAUGGGUUGGCUUCGUGCUAACCCAGUGCCGCAGGGAAGCCGUUAAGUCUGCCGCCUGGGUAGUACGGUCGCAAGACUGAAACUUAAAGGAAUUGGCGGGGGAGCACCACAAGGGGUGAAGCCUGCGGUUCAAUUGGAGUCAACGCCGGG
This 912-nucleotide ribosomal RNA is filed under the name uncultured archaeon. Its description in RNAcentral is "bacterial SSU rRNA". It matches the Rfam family "Archaeal small subunit ribosomal RNA", at positions 1 to 922 of the family's 1478-position model. The record is from RNAcentral.